GGCAGUUGGUGAGGUAAUGGCCCACCAAACCUAUAACCGGUACGGGCUCUGAGAGGAGAAGCCCGGAGAUGGGCACUGAGACAAGGGCCCAGGCCCUAUGGGGCGCAGCAGGCGCGAAACCUCUGCAAUAGGCGAAAGCCUGACAGGGUUACUCUGAGUGAUUUCCGCUAAGGGGAUCUUUUGGCACCUCUAAAAAUGGUGCAGAAUAAGGGGUGGGCAAGUCUGGUGUCAGCCGCCGCGGUAAUACCAGCACCCCGAGUGGUCGGGACGAUUAUUGGGCCUAAAGCAUCCGUAGCCGGUUCUGCAAGUCUUCCGUUAAAUCCAGCCGCUCAACGGAUGGGCCGCGGAGGAUACUACAGGACUAGGAGGCGGGAGAGGCAAGCGGUACUCAGUGGGUAGGGGUAAGAUCCUUUGAUCCAUUGAAGACCACCAGUGGCGAAGGCGGCUUGCCAGAACGCGCUCGACGGUGAGGGAUGAAAGCUGGGGGAGCAAACCGGAUUAGAUACCCGGGUAGUCCCAGCUGUAAACGAUGCAGACUCGGUGAUGGGCUAGCCUUGUGCCAGCCCAGUGCCGCAGGGAAGCCGUUAAGUCUGCCGCCUGGGGAGUACGGUCGCAAGACUG
This 621-nucleotide ribosomal RNA is filed under the name uncultured Thermoprotei archaeon. Its description in RNAcentral is "bacterial SSU rRNA". It matches the Rfam family "Archaeal small subunit ribosomal RNA", at positions 228 to 851 of the family's 1478-position model. The record is from RNAcentral. Lineage: Archaea; Thermoproteati; Thermoproteota; Thermoprotei.